GGUAUUGAAGUAGUAUUAGUUUUCUUCUGUUCAUUGACAGUGUGUUUAAUUUUAAAUUUAAAUUUUACAUUUUAAUGAAAAAAAGUUAAUUUCAUGUAAUAAAAACUGUGAUAUGAACUCAAAAACUGCAAUUGAUUAACCAUUAUUUAAACUGAAUAAAUAAUGAAUAACUGAAUCCCUCACACACACCGAAAAAAACCACGCGCUUUUAUUUUGACACGCGCCCAUCCCCCCACAUCUCACGGUCGGAGUCAGUUUCACAGAGCAGCGCAGGAGGACGACAGACACAUAAAGAACAUUAACAGUUUAGGGCAAACGUUUCCCGCGCAAGUUUGAAUCUCUCUGUCAGUCAGUCAGGGGGGAGAUUAACUGACUGACUGACUGUCUACACGCCACCAAACAGUCAGUUAUACAGAAACCUUUUUAAGUUUAGUUUGAAUCUCUCUCAGUCAGUCAGGAGGAGAUUAACUGACUGACUGUCUACACGCCACCAAACAGUCAGUUAUACAGAAACCUUUUUAAGAUAAGUAUGAACGUGCCCAGAGCAGUUUUCGAUCUUUACCACUAAGGAGGCUGACUGACUAUCCUCUACCACCCGUCAUUAACACAAGAAAAACUAAAGUAAUGUUACUCCAUAUGGACCUAUUCAUUUACUCAUUAUGCUGUGAGUACACCACAGUUUUAUCAAGGAAAAAAUUAUAUUUGUGUGUUUCUCACUGCUUGACAAGGACAGAUGUGGCCCUGUUAAAAAUGUUUAAAUGUUGUUUGGUUUAAGGAACAGCACACUGAUUUUGUUUUAAAAUAUUCCUGUUUGGACAGUCUGUUAAAGCCAUAAAGGAAUACUUGAUAUAUUUCAUAAGUAAAGUGUAAUGUAAUAUUAGUUUUUAAUGUUGUGAAUUUGGACUGAACAGCACACUUCUGUUUUAUAUCUAAACCUUUUGUAAAAUAAAUGAUUGUUCAAUAAACUGUGUAUUUUAUCUUUUCUGUUAUCAUUUUUUUAUACUAAUGUUUAAAAUGUACCUUUACU
Long non-coding RNA from Paramisgurnus dabryanus, 1027 nucleotides. RefSeq lists it as uncharacterized. NCBI's taxonomy places the organism in Eukaryota, Metazoa, Chordata, Actinopteri, Cypriniformes, Cobitidae. The record is from RefSeq and is a predicted model, not a curated record.